Molecule: long non-coding RNA, 727 nt
Filed under: Ananas comosus (pineapple)
Lineage: Eukaryota; Viridiplantae; Streptophyta; Magnoliopsida; Poales; Bromeliaceae
Description: long non-coding RNA (ACOM_LNC015344)
Source: RNAcentral
CUCUGAGUCUGUUUUUACGUUCAUUUUUUGCCAAAACGAUUCCAACUCGUCUCAGCACUAUAUAGAUGUGUCGACCAGCUGCUGCUACUAUAGUCAUUCCGACGGCUAACCUUUUGAGACACCAUAACAUACACAUUUACAAGUUAAUAAUUAUCCAUUUAUUAUACAUUAAGUUAACAUAAGAUUUACUUUAGACAUGAAACUUACCAAAUCACUUCGGUAAAGCACAACUCACCUCUAUUCCCUUAUAAUUGCUUGUAGACACUUACAAUUAGACUCUCAUAGACUAUUUGCUCUCCUCUGAGCAACUUUUCCCAAAAACAUCCAAAAUUGGUUCAUUACUUCAAAUAAACCUUCAGGAUUCUUUUGUUUCUCAAAACAAAGUUGUCUUCUGCAUUUCUCUAACCUGCAAUUAGAGUUCCAGAAACUCAAAAUAUUUUUUAAAUCCUCAAAAUUCAAAAACCUCCAAUUUACACAGGAUUUUUUAAAAACUAUAGCAAAACCUAAAUCUCAUGACAAAUAUCUAUCAUUUGUAACCUAAAUUUGCCUAAGGUUUGAUAAAAUACUAAAUUCAAGGGUUAAAUCUAAAACCCUCACUCGAACCCUAAAAACUCACAUUGUCCCAAAGCUCUUCAAACUUCUUCUUGCCUCAACAAACUUGCUCCACACCUUCACACCUCCAAACCUCCUCCUAGCUUGAUCUUUUCUUAGCUCCAAAGUAGGAGAU